RNAcentral lists this ribosomal RNA (292 nucleotides) under uncultured bacterium. Its description in RNAcentral is "partial 16S ribosomal RNA". It matches the Rfam family "Bacterial small subunit ribosomal RNA", at positions 505 to 796 of the family's 1533-position model. The record is from RNAcentral.
GUGCCAGCCGCCGCGGUAAUACGGAGGGUGCAAGCGUUGUCCGGAAUCACUGGGCGUAACGGGUGCGCAGGCGGGGCAGCAAGUCUGAGGUGAAAGCCCAUGGCUCAACCAUGGAAGUGCCUUCGAAACUGUUGCUCUUGAGUCCCGGAGAGGCUGUCGGAAUUCGUGGUGUAGCGGUGAAAUGCGUAGAUAGCACGAGGAACACCAGAGGCGAAAGCGGACAGCUGGACGGGUACUGACGCUCAGGCACGAAAGCGUGGGGAGCAAACAGGAUUAGAAACCCGUGUAGUCC